CCCUAGUAACUGCGAGUGAAGCGGGAAAAGCUCAAAUUUAAAAUCUGGCGGUCUUUGGCUGUCCGAGUUGUAAUCUAGAGAAGUGUUAUCCGCGCUGGACCGUGUACAAGUCUCCUGGAAUGGAGCGUCAUAGAGGGUGAGAAUCCCGUCUUUGACACGGACUGCCAGGGCUUUGUGAUGCGCUCUCAAAGAGUCGAGUUGUUUGGGAAUGCAGCUCAAAAUGGGUGGUAAAUUCCAUCUAAAGCUAAAUAUUGGCGAGAGACCGAUAGCGAACAAGUACCGUGAGGGAAAGAUGAAAAGAACUUUGGAAAGAGAGUUAAACAGUACGUGAAAUUGCUGAAAGGGAAACGCUUGAAGUCAGUCGCGUUGGCCAGGRAUCAACCUUGCUUUUGCUGGGCGUACUUCCUGGUUAAUGGGUCAGCAUCAAUUUUGACCGUUGGAUAAAGGUUAGGGGAAUGUGGCAUCUUCGGAUGUGUUAUAGCCCUUGGUCGCAUACAACGGUUGGGAUUGAGGAACUCAGCACGCCGCAAGGCCGGGUAUUUAUACCACGUUCGUGCUUAGGAUGCUGGCAUAAUGGCUUUAAUCGACCCGUCYUGAAACACGGACCAAGGAGUCUAACAUGCCUGCGAGUGUUUGGGUGGAAAACCCGAGCGCGUAAUGMAAGUGAAAGUUGAGAUCCCUGUCGUGGGGAGCAUCGASGCCCGGACCAGACCUUUUGKGACGGVUCCGCGGUAGAGCAUGUAUGUUGGGACCC
This 754-nucleotide ribosomal RNA is filed under the name Galerina vittiformis. RNAcentral's name for it is "eukaryotic LSU rRNA". It matches the Rfam family "Eukaryotic large subunit ribosomal RNA", at positions 78 to 817 of the family's 3401-position model. Lineage: Eukaryota; Fungi; Basidiomycota; Agaricomycetes; Agaricales; Galerinaceae. The record is from RNAcentral.